This is a long non-coding RNA of Ictalurus punctatus (channel catfish), 2483 nucleotides long. The record is from Ensembl. Lineage: Eukaryota; Metazoa; Chordata; Actinopteri; Siluriformes; Ictaluridae.
CUAAAACCAAGUAAGGAGCAGGGCCAAAGACUAAGGCAGGACAAGGAGAAGGGCCUGGUGAGCAACAGUGCACGCAGCAGUGGUCUAUCAGGCCAUAUUCUACAUUUGCACAGUACAUCAGCAUGAAGACUGCUUAGUAAAUGUGAGUCCCACAAUUAUUCCUGUGUUGGGUUUAAUGCUGGUGGCCAUUGUGCUGCUCAGAGAGUUAAACAAGUUUCCUUAUAAUGAAUGCAGAAUAUUCUGUUUUAUAUGUAUUUUAUAUGAUACCGUCUCUGUUUUACUAUAUCUAGGUCUAAGUUCUCCUGACACACCAGAAACAUAUGAUUAUCGCCCAGUAAAAGGUAAAUCAAAUAUAUAUAUAUAUUUUUAUUUUAAAGCACAAUGGAAUACUCGUAUUGAGUUAUUAUUUUUAUUGAUCUUUGGUUCUCUUAUAUCAAGUCUAUUUUGUUUUUAGAAAUGGGCACAGCUACUGGGAACAAUCCCUCACAGACCAUAGAGGAUACAACAAAGCAAACGUGCAAAAUCAAGAAAAAUAAGAAGGAAAAGAAAGAAAAACAUCUGCAUAUGAAAGUUAGUUAUGAAAAGAAAGAAAAGAAUCUGGAAGCAAGAGAGAUUGCUGUAGAAAAGAGAGAAACUCAUCAGGAUAGAAGAGAAAUUCAUCUGGAAGAGAGAGAAAAGCAUCUGAAUGAAAAAGAAACGAAUUUAGUAGAAAAAGAAAAGCACCUACAACAAAAAGAAAUUACUUUGCAAGAGAAAGGAAAGCAUCUGGAUGGAAAAGAAGUUCAGUUUGAAGAAAAAGAAAAGCAUCUGGAUGGAAAAGAAAUGAAUUUAGCAGAAAAAGAAAAGCAUCUACAGCAAAGAGGGAUUCAUUUGCAAGAGAAAGAAAAGCAUCUGGAUGGAAAAGAAGUUCAAUUUGAAGAGAAAGAAAAACAACUGUUUGUAAGAGAGAUUAAUUUGGGGAAAAGAUCAAAAUAUCUAGAGGGAAGAGAGACUCGCUUGCAAGAGAGAACAAAACAUCUGGAAGAAAAAGACAUUCUUUAGAAGGAAGCUUAAAGCAUCUGUUGGGGAGAGAGAAUAGUUUGCAAGAGAGAACAAAACAUCUGGAAGAAAAAGAAGUUUCUUUAGAUGAACGUUUAAAGCAUCUGUUGGGAGAGAGAAUAGUUGCAAGAGAGAGGAAAGUGUCUGGAUGGAAGAGAGGUUCAACUGGAAAAGAGGGAAAUGCGUAUAGAUAGAAGAGAGAGUCGUGUGGAUGAGAGAGAACAGCGCCUGGAGGGAAAGGAGAUUCAUUUGGAAGAGAAAGAAAAAAAUCUUGCACAACAUGACCUGAGACAUCUUAAUUCUGCAGAUAGAGAAAAUGAAAAACAGGAAAGAAGUUCAUUCAUGAAAAGUUCCAAGAAGCAAAAGAGAGAACAUCCUGAUGAAGAAGAGAAAGAGCACUCUGUUGAUGAGUAACCCAUUCAGUGUAGAAACAGACAGUAGACCUGUGCAUGAACACCGGCUGGAAGAAGAAACCUUCAGGUGGAAGAAGAGGAAGAAAUUAGUACCUUACCUGAAUAUAUACUGGAUCUGUACGUGACUUGAAUAGAGAUCAGAACAUUAUUCUGAUAAUAAUAUUUUUAACAAAGGCCACGUUAAAAUAAAGAGGACACAAACUCAACAGUCGAGCAUGAACAACCACUUAUCAAAACUACUUAAUAUUAUGUGUGUCCUGUGAACCGAGCAGCCAGCCAAAUUCCCAUUCCUGAGUCAGGCAACAAAACUGUAAAAAACAAACAAACAAAAAACUUGCUGAUACGACAUACGCCUGUGAUGUUUAUGUGAAAAAAAAAAAAACUAAUGUAAAAAUUAGGUUUUUUUUUUUUUUUAAUUUUUUUAAAAAUACUUAAAAAAAAUAUUUUUAAAAUUUAAAUUUAAGUUUAAUGAAAUUUAACUUUAAUUAAUUUUAAAAAAAAUAAUUUUUAAUACUUACAUACAUACUGUACAUACAGUACUGUGCAAAAGUUUUAGGCAUAUGCAAAGAAAUGCUGUAGAUGCCUUCAAAAUACUGAAAUACAGUAAAGAGCAGUAAACAGUAGUAAAUGACACAAAGUCAAUAUUUAGUGUGACAAAAAAUAAAAAUAAAAUAGUAGUCUCAGGUAGAGUUAGUGCAGUUUUAUAAGGAAAUGAGCUGUAAUUUUAUUGAGCAUCUUGCAGAAUGCCGCUUUCUUUACUGAUGAACAUUUUUCUGUAACAUUUAAUUUUGUGCUGGAAAACUAAUGUUUGGGAAUCUAAAAUGUGUUUGUACUGACUCGAUAUGUCGAAGUCAUCAAAUAAAAAUCUGUAACAAAGUUUGUACUAAAAAAAAAAUAGGUGCCUAAAACUUUUGCACAGUACUGUAUGUAUUUUUCUUUAGGUUUUUAGUUCCCAAAAUCCUUAGGCAUAUUUGUAUACUAAUAUAUGUAUUUUGUUGUUAUACAUUUUUUUAGAUUUAAAUUCGCAUUCAC